AGAUUAAACUGAAGAGUUUGAUCCUGGCUCAGAUUGAACGCUGGCGGCAUGCCUUACACAUGCAAGUCGAACGGCAGCACGGAGCUUGCUCUGGUGGCGAGUGGCG
RNAcentral lists this ribosomal RNA (106 nucleotides) under Duganella qianjiadongensis. Its description in RNAcentral is "partial 16S ribosomal RNA". It matches the Rfam family "Bacterial small subunit ribosomal RNA", at positions 1 to 100 of the family's 1533-position model. Lineage: Bacteria; Pseudomonadati; Pseudomonadota; Betaproteobacteria; Burkholderiales; Oxalobacteraceae. The record is from RNAcentral.